AUUGGAAGCUGGCGGAAUGCUUUACACAUGCAAGUCGAACGGUAGAGGGGGCAACCCCUUGAGAGUGGCGAACGGGUGAGUAAUAUAUCGGAACGUGCCCAGUCGUGGGGGAUAACGUAGCGAAAGUUACGCUAAUACCGCAUACGAUCUAAGGAUGAAAGCGGGGGAUCGCAAGACCUCGCGCGACUGGAGCGGCCGAUAUCAGAUUAGGUAGUUGGUAGGGUAAAGGCCUACCAAGCCAACGAUCUGUAGCUGGUCUGAGAGGACGACCAGCCACACUGGAACUGAGACACGGUCCAGACUCCUACGGGAGGCAGCAGUGGGGAAUUUUGGACAAUGGGCGAAAGCCUGAUCCAGCCAUUCCGCGUGCAGGAUGAAGGCCCUCGGGUUGUAAACUGCUUUUGUACAGAACGAAAAGGUUUCUAUUAAUACUAGGAGCUCAUGACGGUACUGUAAGAAUAAGCACCGGCUAACUACGUGCCAGCAGCCGCGGUAAUACGUAGGGUGCAAGCGUUAAUCGGAAUUACUGGGCGUAAAGCGUGCGCAGGCGGUUAUAUAAGUCAGAUGUGAAAUCCCCGGGCUCAACCUGGGAACUGCAUUUGAGACUGUAUAGCUAGAGUACGGUAGAGGGGGAUGGAAUUCCGCGUGUAGCAGUGAAAUGCGUAGAUAUGCGGAGGAACACCGAUGGCGAAGGCAAUCCCCUGGACCUGUAC
RNAcentral lists this ribosomal RNA (713 nucleotides) under uncultured bacterium. RNAcentral's name for it is "bacterial SSU rRNA". It matches the Rfam family "Bacterial small subunit ribosomal RNA", at positions 28 to 740 of the family's 1533-position model. The record is from RNAcentral.